Molecule: ribosomal RNA, 359 nt
Filed under: Oryza sativa (Asian cultivated rice)
Lineage: Eukaryota; Viridiplantae; Streptophyta; Magnoliopsida; Poales; Poaceae
Description: eukaryotic LSU rRNA
Rfam family: Eukaryotic large subunit ribosomal RNA
Source: RNAcentral
ACCUAAUCGAACCCAUCUAGUANCUUGGUUCCCCCCACCGAAGUUUNCCCUAAGGAUUAACUGGAAGCCCAUUUACGAGUUCUANCGGGUAAAANCCAAUGAUUAGAGGCAUUCGGGGGCGCAAACGCCCUCGACCUAUUCUCAAACUUUAAAUAGGUAGGACGGCGCGGCUGCUCCGGUGAGCCGCGCCACGGAAUCGGGAGCUCCAAGUGGGCCAUUUUUGGUAAGCCAGAACUGGCGAUNCGGGAUGAACCGGAACCCUGGUUACGGUGCCGAACUGCGCGCUAACCUAGNACCCANAAAGGGUGUUGGGCGAUUUAGACAGCAGGACGGUGGUCAUGGAAGUCGAAAUCCGCUAA